GCCGGGCAUGGUGGCACGUGCCUGUAGUCCCAGCUACUAGGGAGGCUGAGGUGGGAGGAUCGCUUGAGCCCAGGAGUUCUGGGCUGUAGUGCGCUAUGCCGAUCGGGUGUCCGCACUAGUUUGGCAUCAGUAUGGUGACCCGGAAGUGGGGGACCACCAGGUUGCCUAAGGAGGGGUGAACUGGCCCAGGUCCGAAACAGAGCAGGUCAAAACUCCCGUGCUGAUUAGUGGGGUUGCGCCUGUGAAUAAGCCACUACACUGCAGCCUGGGCAACAUAGCGAGACCCUGUCUCUA
Callithrix jacchus (white-tufted-ear marmoset) is the source of this 294-nucleotide unclassified non-coding RNA. It matches the Rfam family "Metazoan signal recognition particle RNA". From Rfam's summary of the family: The signal recognition particle (SRP) is a universally conserved ribonucleoprotein. It is involved in the co-translational targeting of proteins to membranes. The eukaryotic SRP consists of a 300-nucleotide 7S RNA and six proteins: SRPs 72, 68, 54, 19, 14, and 9. Lineage: Eukaryota; Metazoa; Chordata; Mammalia; Primates; Cebidae. The record is from Ensembl.